RNAcentral lists this ribosomal RNA (491 nucleotides) under uncultured bacterium. RNAcentral describes it as "partial 16S ribosomal RNA". It matches the Rfam family "Bacterial small subunit ribosomal RNA", at positions 30 to 507 of the family's 1533-position model. The record is from RNAcentral.
UUGAACGCUGGCGGCAUGCUUUACACAUGCAAGUCGAACGGUAACAGGCCUUCGGGUGCUGACGAGUGGCGAACGGGUGAGUAAUGCAUCGGAACGUGCCCAGAGGUUGGGGAUAACGCAGCGAAAGCUGUGCUAAUACCGCAUGUGAUCUGAGGAUGAAAGCGGGGGACCAGGCAGCAAUGUUUGGCCUCGCGCCUUUGGAGCGGCCGAUGUCAGAUUCGGUAGUUGGUGGGGUAAAGGCCUACCAAGCCGACGAUCUGUAGCUGGUCUGAGAGGACGACCAGCCACACUGUGACUGAGACACGGCCCAGACUCCUACGGGAGGCAGCAGUGGGGAAUUUUGGACAAUGGGCGCAAGCCUGAUCCAGCAAUGCCGCGUGCGGGAAGAAGGCCUUCGGGUUGUAAACCGCUUUUGUACGGAACGAAAAGGCUCUGGCUAAUACCUGGGGCUGAUGACGGUACCGUAAGAAUAAGCACCGGCUAACUACGUG